GAUGAACGCUGGCGGCGUGCCUAAUACAUGCAAGUCGAGCGAACAGAUGAGGAGCUUGCUCCUCUGACGUUAGCGGCGGACGGGUGAGUAACACGUGGAUAACCUACCUAUAAGACUGGGAUAACUUCGGGAAACCGGAGCUAAUACCGGAUAAUAUAUUGAACCGCGUGGUUCAAUAGUGAAAGACGGUUUUGCUGUCACUUAUAGAUGGAUCCGCGCCGCAUUAGCUAGUUGCUAAGGUAACGGCUUACCAAGGCAACGAUGCGUAGCCGACCUGAGAGGGUGAUCGGCCACACUGGAACUGAGACACGGUCCAGACUCCUACGGGAGGCAGCAAUAGGGAAUCUUCCGCAAUGGGCGAAAGCCCGACGGAGCAACGCCGCGUGAGUGAUGAAGGUCUUCGGAUCGUAAAACUCUGUUAUUAGGGAAGAACAAAUGUGUAAGUAACUAUGCACGUCUUGACGGUACCUAAUCAGAAAGCCACGGCUAACUACGUG
This 497-nucleotide ribosomal RNA is filed under the name uncultured bacterium. RNAcentral's name for it is "partial 16S ribosomal RNA". It matches the Rfam family "Bacterial small subunit ribosomal RNA", at positions 28 to 507 of the family's 1533-position model. The record is from RNAcentral.